AUCGAGGAACAUGACUACCAAACCAAGCUUCGCAAUGUCAUCAAGUUCUUGAAGGAUGGCGACAAAGUGAAGUGCUCCGUCCGCUUCCGUGGACGUGAAAUCGCCCAUGCGGAUAUCGGUCAGAAGAUCUUGGAACGCGUGAAAGUGGAAGUUGCUGAACUCAGCAGCAUCGAACGUCAACCUAAACUUGAAGGCCGUAGCAUGAUUAUGAUUUUGGCUCCUAAAUCUUGAGCCAGAUAAACUUGGAGGAGGAAAUACACAAUGCCUAAAAUGAAAACUCACAGCAGCCUGA
Molecule: unclassified non-coding RNA, 292 nt
Filed under: Paenibacillus sp. PDC88
Lineage: Bacteria; Bacillati; Bacillota; Bacilli; Caryophanales; Paenibacillaceae
Description: Long range pseudoknot
Source: RNAcentral